Molecule: non-coding RNA, 372 nt
Organism: Onychomys torridus (southern grasshopper mouse)
Lineage: Eukaryota; Metazoa; Chordata; Mammalia; Rodentia; Cricetidae
Source: the annotation of a RefSeq genome assembly
AUGAGGGCCCCCACACAGCUCCUGGUGCUGCAGCUGCUCUGGCUCAUAGGUGCCAGAUGUGACAUCCAGAUGACCCAGUCUCCAGCCUCCCUGUCUGUGUCACUGGGAGAAAGUGUCACCAUGACAUGCCAGGCAAGUCAGAACAUUGGCAUUGCUUUAUCAUGGUAUCAGCAGAAACCAGGGAAACCUCCUCAGCUCCUGAUCUAUCAUGCAAACAGCUUGGCAGAUGGGGUUCCAUCAAGGUUCAGCGGCAGUAGAUCUGGCACACAGUUUUCUCUAAAGAUAAGUCGUGUGCAGCCUGAAGAUGUGGCAACCUAUUACUGUCAUCAGUAUGUUAAUUUUCCUCCCACAGUGAUUCAAGUCAUAACAUAA